GACGAACGCUGGCGGCGUGCUUAACACAUGCAAGUCGAACGAUGAAGCCUAGCUUGCUAGGUGGAUUAGUGGCGAACGGGUGAGUAAUACGUGAGUGACCUACCUUUGACUCUGGGAUAAGCCUGGGAAACUGGGUCUAAUACCGGAUACGACCAAUCUCCGCAUGGGGUGUUGGUGGAAAGCGUUAUGGAGUGGUUUUAGAUGGGCUCACGGCCUAUCAGCUUGUUGGUGAGGUAAUGGCUUACCAAGGCGACGACGGGUAGCCGGCCCGAGAGGGUGACCGGCCACACUGGGACUGAGACACGGCCCAGACUCCUACGGGAGGCAGCAGUGGGGAAUAUUGCACAAUGGGCGCAAGCCUGAUGCAGCGACGCCGCGUGAGGGAUGACGGCCUUCGGGUUGUAAACCUCUGUUAGCAUCGAAGAAGCGAAAG
This 433-nucleotide ribosomal RNA is filed under the name Rothia dentocariosa. RNAcentral describes it as "bacterial SSU rRNA". It matches the Rfam family "Bacterial small subunit ribosomal RNA", at positions 28 to 456 of the family's 1533-position model. Lineage: Bacteria; Bacillati; Actinomycetota; Actinomycetes; Micrococcales; Micrococcaceae. The record is from RNAcentral.